Molecule: non-coding RNA, 22 nt
Filed under: Mus musculus (house mouse)
Lineage: Eukaryota; Metazoa; Chordata; Mammalia; Rodentia; Muridae
Source: RNAcentral
UUGCUCUUACUGCUAACAUGUG